This 279-nucleotide ribosomal RNA is filed under the name uncultured bacterium. Its description in RNAcentral is "partial 16S ribosomal RNA". It matches the Rfam family "Bacterial small subunit ribosomal RNA", at positions 506 to 784 of the family's 1533-position model. The record is from RNAcentral.
UGCCAGCCUCCUCGGUAAUACGGAGGAUCCAAGCGUUAUCCGGAAUUAUUGGGUUUAAAGGGUCCGCAGGCUGUUUGUUAAGUCAGGGGUGAAAUCCUACCGCUCAACGGUAGAACUGCCUUUGAUACUGGCAAACUUGAGUUAUUGUGAAGUAGUUAGAAUGUGUAGUGUAGCGGUGAAAUGCAUAGAUAUUACUUAGAAUACCGAUUGCGAAGGCAGUCUACUACGUAUAUACUGACGCUGAGGGACGAAAGCAUGGGUAGCGAAGAGGAUUAGAUA